UACGGAGGGUGCAAGCGUUAUCCGGAAUGACUGGGCGUAAAGCGUGCGCAGGUGGCUCGUUAAGUUGGCUGUGAAAUCCCCGGGCUCAACCUGGGAACUGCAUCGAAAACUGGCGAGCUAGAGUAUGGUAGAGGGUGAUGGAAUUUCCUGUGUAGCGGUGAAAUGCGUAGAUAUCUGGAGGAAUACCGGUGGCGAAGGCGGCCUGCUGGGCCGGCAUUGACGCUGAGGAGCGAAAGCUAGGGGAGCAAACGGG
Molecule: ribosomal RNA, 253 nt
Filed under: uncultured bacterium
Lineage: Bacteria
Description: partial 16S ribosomal RNA
Rfam family: Bacterial small subunit ribosomal RNA
Source: RNAcentral